RNAcentral lists this ribosomal RNA (438 nucleotides) under uncultured eukaryote. RNAcentral describes it as "bacterial SSU rRNA". It matches the Rfam family "Eukaryotic small subunit ribosomal RNA", at positions 1037 to 1497 of the family's 1831-position model. The record is from RNAcentral.
CGAUGCCACCAGCGAUCCGCCUGAGUUCCUUAAAUGACUCGGCGGGCAGCUUCCGGGAAACCAAAGUUUUUCGGUUCCGGGGGAAGUAUGGUUGCAAAGCUGAAACUUAAAGGAAUUGACGGAAGGGCACCACCAGGAGUGGAGCCUGCGGCUUAAUUUGACUCAACACGGGAAAACUUACCCGGCCCGGACACUGGCAGGAUUGACAGAUUGAGAGCUCUUUCUUGAUUCAGUGGGUGGUGGUGCAUGGCCGUUCUUAGUUGGUGGAGCGAUUUGUCUGGUUAAUUCCGAUAACGAACGAGACUCUAGCCUACUAAAUAGGCCACCGGCUUACUGACGUCGGUGGCAGUUCCUAAAAGGACCGGGGGCCAAUCCACCCCACCAAACAAAACAAUAACAAGGCCGGGAAGGCUUUAAAAGGCCGGGGCCCCCCGCCCC